UACAGCUCUUGAAAAUGAGAGUCCAAAUGAGUUUCUUGGUUUUCUGGGUCCGCCUAGUCCUUCUUGCCCAGUACGUUGCAGGCAAUGAAGCGUCGCGGUGCAGCCGGAGACGGUGAAGCUAGACACUGGAGGUCUGAGCAGGGAGAGUUUUCCAAAGGGUUUCGUUUUCGGAACAGCCACGUCCGCUUAUCAAUUCGAAGGCAUGGCCCAUUGUGACGGUCGUGGCCCCAGCAUUUGCGACGUCUUCGUUAAAAUUCCCGGUAAUGAAACUGAUGCUAAAGUGGUCAAAUGUAAAAAAGAAGAAAAACAAAUUUAAAAGAGUUAAUUUCUGUGACAUGAUCAACAGGGAUUGUUGCCAAGAAUGGCACGGGUGAAGUAUCAGUGGACCAAUAUCAUCGCUACAAGGUAGGUAUUUGAUAGGCAUUUAGCCCUCUAAUUCUAUAACCACAAACGUGUGUUAACCUUAGUUGUUAUUGCUGGCCUGCGCAUCAUCUACAGGGGAUUGUCAAGUUUAAAACGUUUCUCUUUUGUUACAGGAAGAUGUGGAUCUUAUGGCAAACCUGAAUUUUGAUGCGUACAGGUUUUCAAUCUCAUGGUCCAGGAUUUUCCCUGGUACUUCCAUCAUCAACAUAGUACAUAUACUUUGAUCAACAGAAAUUGUUGUUGGUGUCGUGUUGCUUAUCAUUUAUUCCAAUUGGUUUUAUUUAGACGGGACUGGGAAGGUAAAUUGGAAGGGAGUUGCAUACUACAACAGGUUGAUCGACUCCUUGCUACAAAGAGGUAAUUCUUUAUAAAGAUUAAGAAUGUAAGAAUUCCCAAACUAGUAUUGCCAGGUUGUGUUGAAACAGGGGAGCUGAUAUCAAUCUAAUGCUAUCAUCAUCAUUUCGUCUGAAUUCGUAUUAUCCCUAAUUAUCAUGGUUCAACAUGUAACCUGUGGGCUUUCUUCCCUGCCCUAACUACAUUUAUUUAUUCCAGUGACUUCCCAUGUCUUCAAUGGCAGAGCUGCCCCUUGAUCCAAUGAAGGACGAUCAGGCAACAAACUAUACUAAUAUUUAGCAAUAGAAAUAGGAGUACCUGGUAUGAAGAAUUCUUUAUAUAUCUAAAGACACCAACUCCACCAUUCAUGGGGUAUGUCUGCUCAUCUCUUCUUCUGCCAUAUCUUCCCCGAUCCCUAUCUUUCAGUGAAGUGCUACUUUAUUCCCUUCCUUGGCUUCUCACCUGAUCAACACUCUUAUAAAGUGCCCUUAGAUUGAUUAAACAAAUCAUUUGCCUUUCUUUAGGA
RNAcentral lists this long non-coding RNA (1282 nucleotides) under Theobroma cacao (cacao). RNAcentral's name for it is "long non-coding RNA (TCAC_LNC001549)". The record is from RNAcentral. Lineage: Eukaryota; Viridiplantae; Streptophyta; Magnoliopsida; Malvales; Malvaceae.